CCUACGGGAGGCAGCAGUGGGGAAUAUUGCACAAUGGGGGAAACCCUGAUGCAGCGAAGCCGCGUGAGGGAAGAAGUAUUUCGGUAUGUAAAGCUCUAUCAGCAGGGAAGAAGAAAGACGGUACCUGACUAAGAAGCCCCGGCUAACUACGUGCCAGCAGCCGCGGUAAUACGGAGGGAGCAAGCGUUAUCCGGAUUUACUGGGUGUAAAGGGAGCGUAGACGGCUGUGCAAGUCUGAAGUGAAAGCCCAGGGCUCAACCCUGGGACUGCUUUUGAAACUGUGGAGCUUGAGUGCGGGAGAGGUACGUGGAAUGCCUAGUGUAGCGGUGAAAUGCGUAGAUAUUAGGAGGAACACCAGUGGCGAAGGCGGCUUACUGGACAGUAACUGACGUUGAGGCUCGAAAGCGUGGGGAGCGAACAGGAUUAGAUACCCGAGUAGUC
RNAcentral lists this ribosomal RNA (441 nucleotides) under uncultured bacterium. RNAcentral describes it as "partial 16S ribosomal RNA". It matches the Rfam family "Bacterial small subunit ribosomal RNA", at positions 338 to 795 of the family's 1533-position model. The record is from RNAcentral.